This 62-nucleotide transfer RNA is filed under the name Holodactylus africanus. Its description in RNAcentral is "tRNA-Tyr". It matches the Rfam family "tRNA". Rfam says of the family: Transfer RNA (tRNA) molecules are approximately 80 nucleotides in length. Their secondary structure includes four short double-helical elements and three loops (D, anti-codon, and T loops). Further hydrogen bonds mediate the characteristic L-shaped molecular structure. tRNAs have two regions of fundamental functional importance: the anti-codon, which is responsible for specific mRNA codon recognition, and the 3' end, to which the tRNAs corresponding amino acid is attached (by aminoacyl-tRNA synthetases). tRNAs cope with the degeneracy of the genetic code in two manners: having more than one tRNA (with a specific anti-codon) for a particular amino acid; and 'wobble' base-pairing, i.e. permitting non-standard base-pairing at the 3rd anti-codon position. Lineage: Eukaryota; Metazoa; Chordata; Lepidosauria; Squamata; Eublepharidae. The record is from RNAcentral.
GGUAAGGUGGCCGAGCAGGCGUCGGAUUGUAGCUCCGUUUACAGGGUAGACCCUUCUUAUCA